CCUACGGGUGGCAGCAGUGGGGGAUAUUGCACAAUGGGGGAAACCCUGAUGCAGCGACGCCGCGUGGGUGAAGAAGCGCCUCGGCGCGUAAAGCUCUGUCAGCAGGGAAGAAAAUGACGGUACCUGAAGAAGAAGCCCCGGCUAACUACGUGCCAGCAGCCGCGGUAAUACGUAGGGGGCAAGCGUUAUCCGGAUUUACUGGGUGUAAAGGGGGCGCAGACGGCGAUGCAAGCCAGGAGUGAAAGCCCGGGGCCCAACCCCGGGACUGCUCUUGGAACUGCGUGGCUAGAGUGCAGGAGGGGCAGGCGGAAUUCCUGGUGUAGCGGUGAAAUGCGUAGAUAUCAGGAGGAACACCGGUGGCGAAGGCGGCCUGCUGGACUGCAACUGACGCUGAAGCACGAAAGCGUGGGUAUCGAACAGGAUUAGAUACCCUAGUAGUC
This 440-nucleotide ribosomal RNA is filed under the name uncultured bacterium. RNAcentral's name for it is "partial 16S ribosomal RNA". It matches the Rfam family "Bacterial small subunit ribosomal RNA", at positions 338 to 795 of the family's 1533-position model. The record is from RNAcentral.